RNAcentral lists this long non-coding RNA (276 nucleotides) under Ananas comosus (pineapple). RNAcentral's name for it is "long non-coding RNA (ACOM_LNC002034)". The record is from RNAcentral. Lineage: Eukaryota; Viridiplantae; Streptophyta; Magnoliopsida; Poales; Bromeliaceae.
GCUAGGGUUCCUGGCGAGGGGUCAGCGGCUAGCUAGAGCCUUUUUGGACGUGUACUAGACGACCUCCUUCAGUUUAUGUAGUUUAGUACAGAGAUGUAUAUUAAGUUAUUGUAAAUUGUACUUUGUUCUUAUGUACUGUAUUAAGGUUUGGAUUGUAUAAGUUUAAAAGUCGUGCUCUGAUUAUCUGGUUAAUAUUAUAUGUUUUUUACUAUAUGGUUUGUAGACGCCUUGUGUAUACUUGAGUUGUGGUGUACACGGCGGGUCUGUGCACGAGAC